RNAcentral lists this ribosomal RNA (1447 nucleotides) under uncultured marine cyanobacterium. Its description in RNAcentral is "bacterial SSU rRNA". It matches the Rfam family "Bacterial small subunit ribosomal RNA". Lineage: Bacteria; Bacillati; Cyanobacteriota. The record is from RNAcentral.
GAGUUUGAUCAUGGCUCAGGAUGAACGCUGGCGGCGUGCUUAACACAUGCAAGUCGAACGAACCUUCGGGUUAGUGGCGGACGGGUGAGUAACGCGUGGGAAUCUGCCCUCAGGAGGGGGAUAACGGUUGGAAACGACCGCUAAUACCCCAUAUGCCGAGAGGUGAAAUGAAUUUCGCCUGAGGAUGAGCCCGCGUCUGAUUAGCUUGUUGGUGAGGUAAUGGCUCACCAAGGCAUCGAUCAGUAGCUGGUCUGAGAGGAUGAUCACCCACUCUGGGACUGAGACACGGCCCAGACUCCUACGGGAGGCAGCAGUGGGGAAUUUUCCGCAAUGGGAGAAAGCCUGACGGAGCAACGCCGCGUGAGGGACGAAGGCCUCUGGGCUGUAAACCUCUUUUCUCAAGGAAGAAGAUAUGACGGCACUUGAGAAAUAAGCCACGGCUAAUUCCGUGCCAGCAGCCGCGGUAAUACGGGAGUGGCAAGCGUUAUCCGGAAUUAUUGGGCGUAAAGCGUCCGCAGGCGGCCUUUCAAGUCUGCUGUUAAAACGUGGAGCUCAACUCCAUCAUGGCAGUGGAAACUGAUUGGCUUGAGUAUGGUAGGGGCAGAGGGAAUUCCCGGUGUAGCGGUGAAAUGCGUAGAUAUCGGGAAGAACACCAGUGGCGAAGGCGCUCUGCUGGGCCAUUACUGACGCUCAUGGACGAAAGCCAGGGGAGCGAAAGGGAUUAGAUACCCCUGUAGUCCUGGCCGUAAACGAUGAACACUAGGUGUCGGGGGAAUCGACCCCCUUCGGGUGUCGUAGCUAACGCGUUAAGUGUCCCGCCUGGGGAGUACGCACGCAAGUGUGAAACUCAAAGGAAUUGACGGGGGCCCGCACAAGCGGUGGAGUAUGUGGUUUAAUUCGAUGCAACGCGAAGAACCUUACCAGGGCUUGACAUCCUGCGAACCUCUAAGAAAUUAGAGGGUGCCUUCGGGAACGCAGUGACAGGUGGUGCGUGGCUGUCGUCAGCUCGUGUCGUGAGAUGUUGGGUUAAGUCCCGCAACGAGCGCAACCCACGUUUUUAGUUGCCAGCAUUUAGUUGGGCACUCUAGAAAGACCGCCGGUGAUAAACCGGAGGAAGGUGUGGAUGACGUCAAGUCAUCAUGCCCCUUACGUCCUGGGCUACACACGUACUACAAUGCUACGGACAAAGGGCAGCAAACUCGCGAGAGCUAGCAAAUCCCAUAAACCGUGGCUCAGUUCAGAUCGUAGGCUGCAACUCGCCUACGUGAAGUAGGAAUCGCUAGUAAUCGCAGGUCAGCAUACUGCGGUGAAUACGUUCCCGGGCCUUGUACACACCGCCCGUCACACCAUGGAAGUUGGCCACGCCCGAAGUCGUUACUUUAACCCUUGUGGAGAAGGACGCCGAAGGUGGGGCUGAUGACUGGGGUGAAGUCGUAACAAGGUAACC